RNAcentral lists this ribosomal RNA (301 nucleotides) under uncultured bacterium. RNAcentral's name for it is "partial 16S ribosomal RNA". It matches the Rfam family "Bacterial small subunit ribosomal RNA", at positions 509 to 809 of the family's 1533-position model. The record is from RNAcentral.
CAGUCGCCGCGGUAAUACAGAGGGUGCAAGCGUUAAUCGGAAUUACUGGGCGUAAAGCGCGCGUAGGUGGUUUGUUAAGUUGGAUGUGAAAUCCCCGGGCUCAACCUGGGAACUGCAUCCAAAACUGGCAAGCUAGAGUAUGGUAGAGGGUGGUGGAAUUUCCUGUGUAGCGGUGAAAUGCGUAGAUAUAGGAAGGAACACCAGUGGCGAAGGCGACCACCUGGACUGAUACUGACACUGAGGUGCGAAAGCGUGGGGAGCAAACAGGAUUAGAUACCCCUGUAGUCCCUGUCUCUCAUAC